GUCUAUGGUCAUACCACCCUGAACGCACCCGAUCUCAUCUGAUCUCGGAAGCGAAAAGGGUUGGACCUGGUUAGUACUUAGAAGGGGAGAAAUCUAUUUUCAUUAUUAAGUUCAGGCUACGUAUUUU
This 127-nucleotide ribosomal RNA is filed under the name Vulpes vulpes (red fox). The record is from RNAcentral. Lineage: Eukaryota; Metazoa; Chordata; Mammalia; Carnivora; Canidae.